GAAUAGUGUGGCAUAGUGGUUUGAACAUUGGACUACAACUCUGGAGAGCAGGGUUCAAUUCCCUACUUGUCCA
Non-coding RNA from Phrynosoma platyrhinos (Desert horned lizard), 73 nucleotides. NCBI's taxonomy places the organism in Eukaryota, Metazoa, Chordata, Lepidosauria, Squamata, Phrynosomatidae. The record is from the annotation of a GenBank genome assembly.